GGCUAGUCCAAAGGUAGUAAGUUAUCUCAAUUGCUCACAGCCAGUUAUAGACUGAACUCUUUGUUCUAUUUGCUCCUCCCUCUCACUACUGUACUUAAUUAGUUUUUU
Molecule: Y RNA, 108 nt
Filed under: Carlito syrichta (Philippine tarsier)
Lineage: Eukaryota; Metazoa; Chordata; Mammalia; Primates; Tarsiidae
Description: Y RNA (ENSTSYG00000021708.2)
Rfam family: Y RNA
About the family: Y RNAs are components of the Ro ribonucleoprotein particle (Ro RNP), in association with Ro60 and La proteins. The Y RNAs and Ro60 and La proteins are well conserved, but the function of the Ro RNP is not known.
Source: Rfam by way of RNAcentral